This 402-nucleotide ribosomal RNA is filed under the name uncultured soil bacterium. RNAcentral describes it as "bacterial SSU rRNA". It matches the Rfam family "Bacterial small subunit ribosomal RNA", at positions 975 to 1375 of the family's 1533-position model. The record is from RNAcentral.
CAGCCCUUGACAUGUCCUCUAUGGAUUCCAGAGACGGAAUCCUUCACUUCGGGUGGGAGGAACACAGGUGCUGCAUGGCUGUCGUCAGCUCGUGUCGUGAGAUGUUGGGUUAAGUCCCGCAACGAGCGCAACCCUCGGCCUUAGUUGCCAUCAUUUAGUUGGGCACUCUAAGGCGACUGCCGGUGAUAAGCCGGAGGAAGGUGGGGAUGACGUCAAGUCCUCAUGGCCCUUACGGGCUGGGCUACACACGUGCUACAAUGGCGGUGACAGAGGGAUGCAAAGGGGCGACCCUUCGCAAAUCUCAAAAAGCCGUCUCAGUUCGGAUUGGGGUCUGCAACUCGACCCCAUGAAGUUGGAAUCGCUAGUAAUCGCAGAUCAGCACGCUGCGGUGAAUACGUUCCC